GACGAACGCUGGCGGCGUGCUUAACACAUGCAAGUCGAACGGAAAGGCCCCCACCUUGGUGGGGGUGCUCGAGUGGCGAACGGGUGAGUAACACGUGGGUGAUCUGCCCUGUACUUCGGGAUAAGCUUGGGAAACUGGGUCUAAUACCGGAUAGGACCAUGGUUUAGUGUCUCAUGGUGGAAAAAUUAUUGUUUUGGUGCAGGAUGAGCUCGCGGCCUAUCAGCUUGUUGGUGGGGUAAUGGCCUACCAAGGCGUCGACGGGUAGCCGGCCUGAGAGGGUGGACGGCCACAUUGGGACUGAGAUACGGCCCAGACUCCUACGGGAGGCAGCAGUGGGGAAUAUUGCACAAUGGGCGCAAGCCUGAUGCAGCGACGCCGCGUGGGGGAUGACGGCCUUCGGGUUGUAACC
This 409-nucleotide ribosomal RNA is filed under the name Corynebacterium matruchotii. RNAcentral describes it as "bacterial SSU rRNA". It matches the Rfam family "Bacterial small subunit ribosomal RNA", at positions 28 to 430 of the family's 1533-position model. The record is from RNAcentral. Lineage: Bacteria; Bacillati; Actinomycetota; Actinomycetes; Mycobacteriales; Corynebacteriaceae.